Molecule: ribosomal RNA, 483 nt
Filed under: Triticum aestivum (bread wheat)
Lineage: Eukaryota; Viridiplantae; Streptophyta; Magnoliopsida; Poales; Poaceae
Description: partial small subunit ribosomal RNA
Source: RNAcentral
AUGGGAGGCGUUUGGGAGGAUCGACUAGGAAGGAUCGAACGGCACCUGGAGAAGACCUGCACAAGGGUGCCACAAAGAUCUCCAAGGACGUCCUCGACUCUGCCGGGUGAGAUGGAUUCUUUUCAUCUUUCAUUCUCCAGUCAUUAUGUUCUAGACCAAAUAGAUCCUAAUGCGAUCGAGUUGGAGGCGGAUUCAGACAACAGAUUCCUUUACAAAUUCGAAGCCAGAACUCAAAAAAGAAAGGGCAAGGAAAUGAAGGGCGCAAGACUACUAGAGGCAAAGACAGGCGAACACGGCCGGAGCAGUAUGGUGACGUCGAUGGGUGUGGAGGAGUGUGUGAAGACGCUGCAGAGCACUGCUGAGGAGCUUGUCAGCAGGACGAGCUGCUCCCGCUGCUGCAUGGCAACCCAACCGGAUCUGCCUCGACAGGUUCGAGCCCUCCAUGCUCUUGCCGCAAAUUCCUUAGGACCAGAUGGAGAGUGA